RNAcentral lists this ribosomal RNA (708 nucleotides) under uncultured bacterium. Its description in RNAcentral is "bacterial SSU rRNA". It matches the Rfam family "Bacterial small subunit ribosomal RNA", at positions 77 to 764 of the family's 1533-position model. The record is from RNAcentral.
CUUCGGGGGGCGAGUAGAGUGGCUGCACGGGUGAGUAACACGUAGGUAAUCUACCUUUGGAUGGGGAAUAACAAUCGGAAACGGUUGCUAAUACCGCAUAAUGCAGCGGCACCUAAUGGUGACAGUUGUUAAAGCGGGGGAUCGAAAGACCUCGCGUCUGAAGAGGAGCCUGCGGCGGAUUAGCUAGUUGGUAAGGUAAUGGCUUACCAAGGCUACGAUCCGUAACCGGCCUGAGAGGGCGGUCGGUCACACUGACACUGACAUACGGGUCAGACUCCUACGGGAGGCAGCAGUCGGGAAUUUUGGGCAAUGGGCGAAAGCCUGACCCAGCAACGCCGCGUGAAGGAUGAAAUCCCUCGGGAUGUAAACUUCGCAAGAACGGGAAGAAUAAGUGGAAGUUAAUACCUUCCAUGAUGACGGUACCGUUUGUAAGCUCCGGCUAACUCCGUGCCAGCAGCCGCGGUAAUACGGGGGGAGCAAGCGUUGUUCGGAUUUACUGGGCGUAAAGGGCGCGUAGGUGGCCAGCACAAGUCAGUUGUGAAAUCUCCGAGCUUAACUCGGAAAGGUCAACUGAUACUGUGCGGCUAGAGUGCGGAAGGGGCAACUGGAAUUCUUGGUGUAGCGGUGAAAUGCGUAGAUAUCAAGAGGAACACCUGCGGGGAAGCGGGUUGCUGGGCCGACACUGGACGCUGAUGCGCGAAAAGCUAG